AUCAAUUUUAUUAGUUGCAUGGAAUGUAGAAUUUCAAGUGCUAAAUUAGUUCGAUUUUAAUUAUUUAAAUUUUGAAGUUUAAAAAUUACGUAAAAUCUUGAAAUAAUACUUUAAAAUUUGGAUGUAGUACGUAAAAAUGCUUUGAAAAAUGAAAAAUGUCCUUAAGACCAAAAAUUCCAUAAAAAACAAAAUAAAAUUCGGAAAUUGGAAUAUCCAUUCAAAAGAACAUGAACAUAUGAUUUGUAGUAAAACUAGAAACGUAGUACCAUGGUGACCAUUGAGAAUAAUGCACUUUGCAUUAAAAUCCUGGUCCUAUUAUUUAUCAGUUGUCACAAAAUCGAUUUCUUCGUUGUCCUUUCUGACUUUUUAUCUGUAAGCACCAUUUUAAACUAAUUGCUUUUUACCUAUAUUGUUUUGGUAAAUUCAAACGGGCUGCUGUGUAGAGUAUUACUUGCAUUCCAAAAAAGGACGUAAGUAAUAAGCACCGCUCUUUCGAUUUCGUAAACCGUUAAAAUUGAUGAUCAUCAUAAGCAUAUCUGAAUUUGGAUGAAUUCAUAUUUAUGUCACACGUUUUACAAAUCAAAAUACUCAAAUGCCAAAAUUUUAUAUAUUUAAAUACGAAAAUCUAUACAGUAAAAUUUCGAGAUCUGAGAUUUCAAGAGGGACAUGUUGGUUACUAUACACUAAUGACCCAACCACAUUUUUGCAAGUGCCAAUUGUUAAGUAGUGAGAAGUUAGGCUUAUUUUAAUAAAAUAACGAAUACAUAAUAAAUUAUGAGCUUAAUAAUAUUUUUUCAAUUUUAUUAAAUUUCUCAAUACAUCUACAGUAUAAUAUUAAA
This is a long non-coding RNA of Aphis gossypii (cotton aphid), 839 nucleotides long. RefSeq lists it as uncharacterized. Lineage: Eukaryota; Metazoa; Arthropoda; Insecta; Hemiptera; Aphididae. The transcript is spliced from 4 exons. The record is from RefSeq and is a predicted model, not a curated record.